GACGAACGCUGGCGGCGUGCUUAACACAUGCAAGUCGAACGGACAGGCCCUGCUUUUGUGGGGUGCUCGAGUGGCGAACGGGUGUGUAACACGUGAGUAACCUGCCCUUGACUUUGGGAUAACUUCAGGAAACUGGGGCUAAUACCGGAUAGGAUCUCCUGCUGCAUGUGGGGCGUUGGAAAGUUUCGGCGGUUGGGGCUGGACUCGCGGCUUAUGCGCUAGAUGGUGGGGUAGGUGCUUUCCAAGGCUUUGACGGGUAGCCGGCCUGAGAGGCGGACCGGGGACAUGGGGACUAAGAGACGCACCAGUAGGCUACGGGAGGCAGAAGGGGGGAAUAUUGCACAGUGGGCGGAAGCCUGAUGCAGCGACGCCCCGUGCGGGAUGACGGCCUUCGGGUUGUAAACAGCUUUCGCCGGUGACGAAGCGUGAGUGACGGUAAUGGGUAAAGAAGCACCGGCUAACUACGUG
Molecule: ribosomal RNA, 468 nt
Filed under: uncultured bacterium
Lineage: Bacteria
Description: partial 16S ribosomal RNA
Rfam family: Bacterial small subunit ribosomal RNA
Source: RNAcentral